This 496-nucleotide ribosomal RNA is filed under the name uncultured bacterium. RNAcentral's name for it is "partial 16S ribosomal RNA". It matches the Rfam family "Bacterial small subunit ribosomal RNA", at positions 29 to 507 of the family's 1533-position model. The record is from RNAcentral.
AUGAACGCUGGCGGCGUGCCUAAUCCAUGCCAGUCGAGCGCACGGACGAGAAGCUUGCUUUUCUGAUGUUAGCGGCGGACGGGUGAGUAACACGUGGAUAACCUACCUAUAAGACUGGGAUAACUUCGGGAAACCGGAGCUAAUACCGGAUAAUAUUUUGAACCGCAUGGUUCAAAAGUGAAAGACGGUCUUGCUGUCACUUAUAGAUGGAUCCGCGCUGCAUUAGCUAGUUGGUAAGGUAACGGCUUACCAAGGCAACGAUGCAUAGCCGACCUGAGAGGGUGAUCGGCCACACUGGAACUGAGACACGGUCCAGACUCCUACGGGAGGCAGCAGUAGGGAAUCUUCCGCAAUGGGCGAAAGCCUGACGGAGCAACGCCGCGUGAGUGAUGAAGGUCUUCGGAUCGUAAAACUCUGUUAUUAGGGAAGAACACAUGUGUAAGUAACUGUGCACAUCUUGACGGUACCUAAUCAGAAAGCCACGGCUAACUACGUG